AGCUCCAAUAGCGUAUAUUAAAGUUGUUGCAGUUAAAAAGCUCGUAGUUGGAUUUGUGGUGUACUUCGGCGGCCCAUCACUAAGUGACGGAGCUUGCUAAAGUCGCCAUCCUUGGGUGGAUCCUGUGUGGCAUUCAGUUGUCGUGCAGGGGAUGCCCAUCGUUUACUGUGAAAAAAUUAGAGUGUUCAAAGCAGGCUUAUGCCGUUGAAUAUGUUAGCAUGGAAUAAUAAGAUAGGACCUUGGUACUAUUUUGUUGGUUUGCGCACCAAGGUAAUGAUUAAUAGGGACAGUUGGGGGUAUUCGUAUUUCAUUGUCAGAGGUGAAAUUCUUGGAUUUUUGAAAGACGAACUACUGCGAAAGCAUUUACCAAGGAUGUUU
Molecule: ribosomal RNA, 378 nt
Filed under: uncultured eukaryote
Lineage: Eukaryota
Description: SSU rRNA
Rfam family: Eukaryotic small subunit ribosomal RNA
Source: RNAcentral